CCCAGUGCCAUUGGUUGUGUGUGUCAAAGGGACAGAGUCAUUCCUGUGCAGUUGUGAAUGGUUAAUUUUGUGUGUUAACUUUGCUCAACUCUGAUGCCUGGUUGCUUGAUCAGAGCAACCAGUUGUCUGGAUGUUUCUAGGAAGGUAAUUUUUGGAUAAGAUGAACGUAGUAGCCCUUGAGUAAAGCAGACUGUCCUUCAUAUUUGGAAUGGGCCUCAUUCGAUCAGUUGAAGGCCUUAAGAGCAAAGGCUGAGGUUCCCGGAAGGGGAAGAUCUGCCUCCAGACCUCCUUCUGACUCGGAAUGGGAAGAUUUGCCUCCAGACCUCCUUCUGACUCAAGACGGCAAUGUCAACUCCUCCUGGGGUUCUCAGCCUGCUGGCCCGCCCUGCAGAUUUCAGACUUGUCCGCCUCUGAAGUCAUGUUAUCGCUCUGUCACCCAGGCUGGAGUACGGCAGUGCAAUCAUGGCUCAUUGCAGCCUUGACCUCCUAGGCUCAAGUGAUUCUUCAUCCUCGGCUUCCCAAAUAGCUGGACUACAGGUAUGCACCACCGUGCCUUUAAUUUUUUGUACUUUUUGUAGAGGUAGGGUUUUGCCAUGUUGCUUGGGCUUCUCUCAAACUCCUGGACUCAAGUGAUCUGUCUGCCUCGGCCUCCAGAAAUGCCAGGAUUAUAGACGGGAACCACAGCGCUCAGGUAACCCUGUUUUUUUUUUUUUUUUAAAUCGACUUCUGUUUUAAUUAAAUUGCGGGUUACAUGUGAACAUUUGAUGUCAGUGAGGCUUGUGGCCACUGACCCUGUCACCCAGGCAGUGAGCAGACUGCCAAUCAGGUGGUUCUUCCCCCCACACCCCCUUUCUGCCUCCUUUUUUCAUCUGAUAGUCCCCAGUGUCUAUUGUUUCCAUCUCGAUGUUUGAGUGUAUUCACUGUGUAGCUCCCACUCAUAAGUGAGAAGAACAUGCAGUGUUUGAUUUUCUGUUCUUGCCUUGGUUUGCUAAAUACAAUAAUCCCCAGGUCUACCCAUGCUGCUUAGGACAUGAUUUUGUGUUUUUCUUAUGGCUGUGUAGUAUUUUGUGGUGUGUAUGUACCACAUUAAAAAAAUCAAAUCCACUGUUGCUGGUCACCUAGGUUGCUUCCACAUCUUUUUCUUAUGAAUGGCACAGCCAUAAAUGCAUGAGUGCAUGUGUCUUUUUAAUGGAAGGAUUUAUUGUCUUUCGGGUAGAUACCAAGCAGUGGAAUUGCUGGGUCUGAUGGUAGUUCUGUUUUAGUUCUUUGGGAAUCUCCAAACUGCUUUCCACAGUGCGAACUAGUUUUCACAUUCACCAGGAGUGUGGCAGCAUUCCCUUUUGUUUGCUGCCUCGCCAGCAUGUUGUUUUGAUUUUGGAAAAGUGGCUGUUCUGACCAGCGUGAGAUGGUGUCUUGUUGUGUUUGUGAGUUGCCUUUUACCGACAAUUAGUGAGGUUGUGCAGUUUUUCAUGUCAGUUGGUCGCUUGAAUGUCUUACAUUUUUGUUUUGUUUUUGAGACAGGGUCUCACUCUUGCCCAGACUGGAGUGCAGUUGGGCGAUCUCGGCUCACCGCAACCUUUGCCUUCUGAGUUCAAUCAAUUCUCCUAAACUCAGCCUGCUGAGUAGCUGGGAUUAUAGAUGUGUGCCACUAUACCCAGCUAAUUUUUGUAUUUUUCGUAGAGGCAGGGUUUCACCAUGUUGGCCAGGCUGGUCUCGAACUCCUGGCCUUAUGUGCCUGCCUCAGCCUCCCAAAGAGCUGGGAUUACAGGCGUGAGCCACCAUACCCAGACUGUUUGCUUAAAUUUCGUUUUUGUGUGUGUUCUUUUGGGAUAGAGUCUUGCUCCGUCGCCAGGCUGGAGUGCAGCUGCAUGAUCUCAGCUGACUGCAACCUCCGCUUCCCAGGUUCAGGCGAUUCUCCUGCCUCAGCCUCCCGAGUAGCUGGGACUACAGGCGCACACCACCACACAUAGAUAAUUUUUGCAUUUUUAGUAGAGAUGGGGC
This is a long non-coding RNA of Callithrix jacchus (white-tufted-ear marmoset), 2001 nucleotides long. The record is from Ensembl. NCBI's taxonomy places the organism in Eukaryota, Metazoa, Chordata, Mammalia, Primates, Cebidae.